UGCGCACGCCGGGCCCGCCGCCCGCCCCGCGCGGGGCAAUGGCGGCCGCGCCGCAGCCGCCAGCGCUCGCGCUCCUUCUCGCCCGAGGGCGGCCCCGGCGGUGACCUCCCCCUGCCCCUGAGGCGGGGUGGGAGGAAGGGGCAGCCCCGGCCCGGGAUGCUUCGUGCUCGUUGGGAUCGGGGCUGCCCCCGCUGCUGGCGGGGCUGCGCAGCGCUCGUCCUCUCGGGGCAGCGCGGGCCUGCUUGGGGGAAGGUGCGCUGAGGCCUCUGAAAGUCGGCGGCUGUGGACUCCAGAGAAGAUCCCUGAUGCUAGAACAUCAUUAACAGGGAAUGCUCUCCAUUCCCGAAUACUGCUUGCAGCAUGGAAUCACUGGAAUGACUGACCUGAUCUGAGAAAUGUAAACUGUCUCCUUCUGAAGCUUGAAAGGCUUUGUUGAGCUUUAUAGUCAAGGAGACUUGCUUUAUCUUAAAACCUUGUAUGUUCUAGUAUGACUAGCAAGCUCAGUAGAGAUAUUCCUCAAAUAUGUUUUUAAUUUCAGCAUCGUAAUAAAAUCAUUUGGUGAUCCCA
Molecule: long non-coding RNA, 567 nt
Organism: Pseudopipra pipra
Lineage: Eukaryota; Metazoa; Chordata; Aves; Passeriformes; Pipridae
Exons: 2
Source: RefSeq, a predicted model, not a curated record